UGAAUACGAGACGCUAAGGCGUCGAAGUAGUGUAUGUCAUACUUCCAAGAAAAGCUUGCACUGUCAUAAGUAAAAAAUGCCUGUACCAUAACCGACACAGGUGGGUAGGUAGAGUAUACUAAGGGGCGCGAGAUAACUCUCUCUAAGGAACUCGGCAAAAUAACUCCGUAACUUCGGGAGAAGGAGUACCUUAUUCUAUAAGGUUGCAAUAACAAGAUCCAAGCAACUGUUUAUCAAAAACACAGGUCUCCGCUAAGUCGUAAGACGAUGUAUGGGGGCUGACGCCUGCCCAGUGCCAGAAGGUUAAAGAAGUCGGUUAGCAUUAGCGAAGCUGGUAACUGAAGCCCUGGUGAACGGCGGCCGUAACAAUAACGGUCCUAAGGUAGCGAAAUUCCUUGUCGGGUAAGUUCCGACCCGCACGAAAGGCGUAAUGAUUUGGAUACUGUCUCGGAGAGGGGCUCGGUGAAAUAGACUUGUCUGUGAAGAUGCGGACUACCUGCACCAGGACAGAAAGACCCUAUGAAGCUUUACUGUAACUUGAAAUUGAAAUUGGACUUUAUUCGCGCAGUAUAGGUGGGAGGUGUUGAUUAUAAUCUUGCGGGAUUAUUGGAGCCAUCAGUGAGAUACCACUCUUGUAAUGUUAGAUUUCUAACUUUGAAUCAUUAUCUGGUCAAAGGACAGUUUCAGGCGGGCAGUUUGACUGGGGCGGUCGCCUCCCAAACGGUAACGGAGGCGUACAAAGGUUUCCUCUGAACGGGUAGAAAUCGUAUCUAGAGUGUAAAGGCAUAAGGAAGCUUGACUGUGAGACCUACAAGUCGAACAGGGACGAAAGUCGGUCUUAGUGAUCUGACGGUACUGAGUGGAAAGGCCGUCACUCAACGGAUAAAAGUUACUCUAGGAUAACAGGCUGAUCUCCCCCAAGAGUUCACAUCGACGGGGAGGUUUGGCACCUCGAUGUCGGCUCAUCGCAUCCUGGGGCGGUAGUACGUCCCAAGGGUUGGGCUGUUCGCCCAUGAAAGCGGUACGCGAGCUGGGUUCAGAACGUCGUGAGACAGUUCGGUCCAUAUCCGGUGUAGGCGUUAGAAUAUUGAGAGGAGCCUUCUUUAGUACGAGAGGACCGAGAAGGACAUACCUCUGGUGUACCAGUUAUCGUGCCAACGGUAAACGCUGGGUAGCUAUGUAUGGAGUGGAUAACCGCUGAAAGCAUCUAAGUGGGAAGCCCACCUCAAGAUAAG
This 1235-nucleotide ribosomal RNA is filed under the name metagenome. RNAcentral's name for it is "bacterial LSU rRNA". It matches the Rfam family "Bacterial large subunit ribosomal RNA", at positions 1564 to 2808 of the family's 2925-position model. The record is from RNAcentral.